AUUGAACGCUGGCGGCAGGCCUAACACAUGCAAGUCGAGCGGCUGCAGAGUGCUUGCUCGUGGAUUCAGCGGGGGAGGGGCGAGUGAUGCCUGGGAAUCUGCCUGGCUGCGGGGGAUAACGUCCGGACACGGGCGCUCAUACCGCAAUAGCGCUGACGGCGUACGUGGGGGAUCUUCGGAUCUUCCGCCCUCAGUCGAGCCUAGGUCGGGUUAGCGAGUUGGGGGGGUAGAGGCCUACCAGGGCGACGAUCCGUAGCUGGUCUGAGAGGAUGAUCAGACACACUGGAACAGAGACACUGUCCAGACUUCUGCGAGAGGCAGCAGUGGAAAAUAUUAGACAAGGGGCGAAAGUCUGAUACAGCCAUGCCGCGUGUGAAGAAGGUCUUCGGAUUGUAAAGCACUUUAGUUUGGAAGGAAGAGCAGUAAGUUAAUACCUUGCUGUUUUGACGUUACCAACAGAAUAAGCACCGGCUAACUUCGUG
This 482-nucleotide ribosomal RNA is filed under the name uncultured bacterium. RNAcentral describes it as "partial 16S ribosomal RNA". It matches the Rfam family "Bacterial small subunit ribosomal RNA", at positions 30 to 507 of the family's 1533-position model. The record is from RNAcentral.